RNAcentral lists this transfer RNA (60 nucleotides) under Gyge ovalis. RNAcentral describes it as "tRNA-Leu". Lineage: Eukaryota; Metazoa; Arthropoda; Malacostraca; Isopoda; Bopyridae. The record is from RNAcentral.
CCCUUUAUGGCAGAUAUAAUGUGUAGAAUUUAAGCUUCUAAGAUGGAGUUCCUUUAGGGA